CCCUCCCAGAUCCACAGUGGUGUACUCUCUUGCUGGUGGGGCAGUCGGCUACAGUUCUUUAUCUUAUCAGCUCCUACAAACACUGCAUUUCCCUGGUAAGAUCUCGGCACUUGAAGGUGAAAGGCCUUCCUGCCCUGGAGUUUGAUGGGAGCUGAGUUAUCAAAAGAGAAGUCUUCCUUACAGAUUGGUGUACUUCUUAUCAGGUCUAAGGUUCUCACUGUGGAUCACGUUUCAACGCUCUGGAGUGACUUUGUACAAGCACCAGAGGUGGGAUUUAGUCAUUCUCAUGAAGUGUGGAGACAUUUAAGAGAAUCAAGAGAAAGUGGAGCUGUUCCCUAAUGGGUAGAAUGAAAUGAGACCUGCUGACAGAAGCAUCAGAAUGCCUGGAAUACUGGCCAGGAAACAAGGUGGUGCUGAAAACUACACCCCAAAGGUAUUCCUUCUGUACCCAAGAUACAUCCAGG
RNAcentral lists this long non-coding RNA (464 nucleotides) under Cricetulus griseus (Chinese hamster). RNAcentral describes it as "lncRNA (ENSCGRG00015040907.1)". The record is from RNAcentral. Lineage: Eukaryota; Metazoa; Chordata; Mammalia; Rodentia; Cricetidae.